UCGCUAGCUGCGCUUUUUUGCUCCGCGAAGCCUUUGACACCGACUCAUUGACGACCCCGACGCGCAAAACUUUUCGUUCGACGAUCUCUCCGAUACGAAAAAAGCACAGCGCUCCAAAGUGUAAAUAAAGUGGUCAAUUUAUCAACCGGAUCAUAAAAAUCAGCGCAGUCAAUUGUUUGAGCGCAAAGAUCGGCGUAUACCUAUAUAACACGCUGCACGCUACAUGAAUGGGUAUGAAAAUUGAGAAACAAAAAAUGGGCGAACAAAUUCCGCGCAAGAAUUAUCAAGGUUCGCACCUAUUAUUUGUUUACUACGGUCGAUUCCCUGAUGUGAAAUGCGAGCGCGAACGCGCGGUUGAGUUCAGUGCUGUAGCAGCAUAAGGAUGAGGUUGGCAGUGAAUCACCUUGCGAAGGUGGGCCGGCAAGUUCAGCGAUUGCGUGCAGUAAAAGGUUUAGGUGUAGGAGUGACUGGUUGGCGUGUGCGAAGGUGUUGGUACGGGUAUAUGUGGACCGCAUACCUCGAGGCAGCGGCGGUGGCGGCGGCGGCGGCGGAAUCAGCCUCCUUGUCUCAAGUUAAAGCUCCGAGUCCCGGCAUACCAGACCUUUAAACCCAUCUAUGUGUAAAGAUUCGCUAUUUAUGGUCCAGGAAGGCAGUCAGGCAAGGAUCCGAGCCGAAGCCGGACCGAGACGAGGCGACAAGGACACGCGUUCGGGAAUAGAAGGCGCGAAAGUUCAAAGAUUCCGUGUCUUCCAUUUUUAGAGGGAAAUGAAAAAAAAAAGGAAAAAAUCAAACAAAACAAACACGGAUAAAAUAAACGAAACAAAAACUGUAUCUGCAUUCGUACACAUGCCACGUGUACCCGUUUCCCUCUCGCGUCGACUGUAACUCGGACAUUUUUCUCGGACGAUGGUUUUUUACGACGGCGGAAUCGUCGUCACAGUCGAUCGGCUCUAAUCGCCGGCGAGCUAUCGGACGAUAGGGUAUAGAAAAUUCUCGAUCAAUUGGUUAUACCGCGUAACCGUGUGUACACGUGUAUAAUUUGGUCGGAGAGCAGCUCCGAAAGAUCGAUGCAUGUCCGGGUAUUACGAGAAGGUGCGGCUCGCGGCUCGGUCGUUAUGGUAUUUAAAAAGUACGAAGCGGCGGUUGGGUUUCGUUUCGAUUCAAAAGUUCCGCCCGGAUCAUUCCGAAGACUACCGAGCCCCGCGACCGAGUAUUUCCGAAACCGAGAUUUGAAUUCGAACGGGUUCCGGAUACGCGUGUAACACGAGUGUCGUUAUUCACGUGUGCGUACGUGAAUAACGACGCGUAUCAACCGCAGCGGUUACGUGCGAUCGCGCGAGACGCGCAAGUUUUCGCGUUGCUCAAACACCCCGGGGGGAAGAUAUGCUCAAUUUCCCUGAGCCGUUUCCUCCUCGUUGCGAUAGGUGCGUGGGGUAACCGAUUCGGUCCCGGGCCCCCUAACCUCCGUUUUCUCUGGUAGUUCUUUCGCCGACCCGCCCCGCUGCGGGCCCCCCUUUUACGCGAAGAGUCACGUACCGGACGGAGACUCGGGAGACUCGGGAGACUCGGGAGACCGUGGAGUGCAGGCGACCCGGGAGAGACCGGAGAUCCGAGAUCCCGACCACUUCGAGGACCAGCCCGAGCCCACCAAGGACUCUCACCGCACGGAACCCACCGCGCUUCUUCACCGCAGCAGGACGCCUAUAGCUCGUUCUUCGGUGCCGGCGGAACAUCCUUUAAUAUCUUUUGCCGCCCUCUUCUUCGUCCUCGUCUUCGUCUUCGUCUUCGUCUUCUUCUUCUUCAUCGGUGAACAGGGCGCCUCUCUUCCCUCCUUUCCACACUCUCACUCUUUCUCCCCGUAUUCUCAUCCUCGUCCCCCUCGGUUUCUUUCCUUCUUCUCCCCUCUCCGCCCGUACGACUUCGGAGUCUCCUCGCCUGUGAACCGCACCAGCUUCUCUCGAUAGCAUCUCUUGAUGGAAUGCCUUCUGCGAUGCUGUGAGACUCGAGCUCCGGAGGAGCUUCGCUUCGUUUCGUACAGGAUCACCCCGACCACGACACAGCGCACCUUAUACCUGUCACUGAACGACGCGCCCCUGCGGUGGUACCGCGUUUAUAUUUGCCCUCGCGCGCGAUCACUUCGUGAUAUUACGUUGGUACCUACGCGUUGCGUGCAGACCGCGUCAAAACUUUGGAAAAAGGUUCCGAAUUUUUGUCCAGGGAACCUCAACUCGGACCGUUUUCUUUGUUUUUUUUUUUUCGCGGAUGCUUUUUCGACGCCUGAUUUCAUUGGUGCACACGCGGUAGAAUCGUAGCGCGAUGUUCGAAUUUCCAAGUCUCCGAAAGACGAUGUACGCAGAGAUUCGUCGAGUGUUUCCUUGGGUGAGGCGGUAAGUGCGGGGAUCCGACGGUCGGGUAACCAGUCCAGUCAUCCGUGUCACGAUGUUACCGCGGCGAGCGACGAAAGCGAGGGCGGAAAAUCGUAGUAAAGAUAACGCGACCUUAACCUUCCCAUUUGAUCUCCGCGUCUCCGCGCGGCGUCGAGUUACGCCGGCGUAGGAACCACCUUCAAAUUUGACGAUCUAGCGGGCGCGUGAGUCGAAUAACCUUUGUUAUUACACGUACGAAGAGGAGACUCGAAAUGGAUUUAGUCGGACCUCGGGGAACCGCCUUUGACUCCCAUACGAACUGUUCUACCGCAUCGUACUUCCCGCGAUGAUCGUGUGAAACACCACCGUCCUCAAUUUUUCCUCCUUUUUUUUCUCGAAUUAAAUCUCUCGAAUUUCCUCAAUCACCAUAUUAAAAUUAUGUUUAUGUGGUUUUUUUUUUCUUAUCACCGUAUACGUGACAUCUGUAAGUUACCGUUUUUGCACCUGACGUGUGCCCAUCAAUUACGUACGUGUAUACGUAGUUAAAAAUUCUCAUUCAAGUAACGCUGCACGCGGAAUGAGAAAUUUCUAAAAAUUUCGAAUAAAUAAAUACGAAUGAACGAUGAUAUUUGUUUAUAGUUAUCAUUAUUUUUUAUCGCCUUGUCUCUUCUCACAAACACCGAAAACUCACGAGUGCUCGCUAGGUCGCGCGGUUUUCGGAUAACGCGCGUAAACGUCGA
This is a long non-coding RNA of Athalia rosae (coleseed sawfly), 3106 nucleotides long. RefSeq lists it as uncharacterized. The transcript has 3 exons. NCBI's taxonomy places the organism in Eukaryota, Metazoa, Arthropoda, Insecta, Hymenoptera, Athaliidae. The record is from RefSeq and is a predicted model, not a curated record.